AUCCAGCUGACGAGUCCCAAAUAGGACGAGAUGCGCGUCAUGAAU
RNAcentral lists this non-coding RNA (45 nucleotides) under Schistosoma mansoni. The record is from RNAcentral. Lineage: Eukaryota; Metazoa; Platyhelminthes; Trematoda; Strigeidida; Schistosomatidae.